RNA transcript from Arachis stenosperma, 2318 nucleotides. It is a transcript of the gene named septum site-determining protein minD homolog, chloroplastic, with no coding region annotated. The record is from RefSeq and is a predicted model, not a curated record. NCBI's taxonomy places the organism in Eukaryota, Viridiplantae, Streptophyta, Magnoliopsida, Fabales, Fabaceae. The transcript is spliced from 2 exons.
UUUUAUUUGUUGCUUUCGAUAUCACUGUGUCAGUGGUUACUCACUGUCACUGAGCUACCCUCUCAGCUCGGCGAUGCUCUCUCUCCACCGUCUCCCUGGCGUCCCCACCGCCAAACCACCACUUUUUCCGUCCACCUCAACCUUCACCCACCCACCACGACGACCUACAUUCCUCUUCCCCCAAUCCAAAACCCUACCAAAACCCCCAAAAUUCCACAAAUCCCCCACCGCCCUCCUCCAGUGGAACCGCAAACCCCAGCUCUCCGGCGAAACCCCCCGCGUAGUCGUCGUCACCUCCGGAAAAGGCGGCGUCGGCAAGACCACAACCACCGCCAACAUCGGCCUCUCCCUCGCCAGACUCGACUUCUCCGUCGUCGCCAUCGACGCCGACGUCGGCCUCCGCAACCUCGACCUCCUCUUAGGCCUCGAGAAUCGCGUGAACUACACCGCUCUCGAGGUUCUCAACGGCGAUUGCAGGCUCGACCAGGCUCUCGUCAGGGACAAGCGUUGGUCCAACUUUGAAUUGCUCUGCAUUUCAAAACCUAGGUCAAAAUUGCCCCUAGGGUUUGGAGGAAAAGCCCUAAUUUGGCUCGUCGAUGCUCUCAAAUCGCGCACAGAAGGUUGCCCUGACUUCAUCCUCAUUGAUUGCCCCGCCGGCAUCGACGCUGGAUUCAUCACCGCCAUAACGCCGGCGAACGAGGCAAUUCUGAUAACCACACCAGAUAUAACUGCCCUUAGAGAUGCUGAUAGGGUUACUGGUUUGCUUGAAUGUGAUGGAAUUAGGGACAUAAAGAUGAUUGUGAAUAGAGUUAGGACAGAUAUGAUUAAGGGUGAGGACAUGAUGUCUGUUCUUGAUGUACAAGAAAUGCUAGGGUUGCCACUGCUCGGAGCGAUUCCGGAGGAUUCGGAGGUUAUAAGGAGUACCAAUAGAGGGUACCCUUUGGUUCUGAAUAAGCCUCCAACAUUGGCAGGGUUGGCAUUUGAGCAAGCAGCUUGGAGGCUUGUGGAGCAAGAUACAAUGCAAGCUGUCAUGGUUGAGGAGGAGCCAAAGCGUGGCUUUUUCUCCUUCUUUGGUGGCUAACUAGAACACAAUGAAUCCAAGUUUGGAAUGUUUUUUCAAAUUUCAACUUUGCUUGUGAUUGGUUUUUUGGUUCUGUUUUCAAGUUAGUGUGAUUUUGUUUGCUUCUUAUUUUAGGAUGGAGUAUUGCAAAUUUGUUAUCAUGUGUAGGUGGUAGUGGGAGAGGAGCAAGGAGGAAGCUGUGUACAGUACAGUUUUGGGGGGUGUUGUUUAUGCCUUGGAACAUGGAACAAAAUUCUCUCCUUGAUGAGUAAGUUUACACUUCACCAUGCAUGAUAAGUUCAUUUUUGUUUCUAAAUUCUAAUGCAGCAUGUAGUAGUGUGUCACUGAUAAAAAUCUGCUUAAUAUGAUGCGAAACUUGAUCCCUGCUAUGAUUUUAUAAUGUUAUGGAAGGUUUGUCCGUCUCAGCAAUUUAUCAAUCUCUGCGAUCCUAGAAUACUGCAUAUAUGAAUUAUGAAUCAUGAGGCACCUUUUUCUUCUAUAACAUAUUAAAUUAGAAUCAAAUUCUGUUUAUUGCCAAGGAACUCUUUUUUUUUGUUUUUUGGUGCAUACAACACACACUCUCUACUCACACACACACACAUUAAAGUAUUAAACACUCUCUUUUUCACCAACAAAGAUUCGAACUUAUGUGGCACUUUUAGGAGGCAAAUGUAUUUGCCAUUAGGAUAAGCCUCAGCCACAUUGCCAAGGAACUUGUAUUGUAAACAUAGCAGUUUUUUAGCAGGUUUUAUUGUUUUUUAGGGUCAAGUUGAUUCGUCAUACGUAAAUGGAUAAUUUUGGGCCGAAGUUUAGUUAAUUAAUGGUACAUGAGUAUAUGCCUAUAUGAUAUGUAGUAGUAUUAUUGUUUUGACUCCGGAGUCUUGCAUUUGUGCCAAAAAGUCCAUUGGCCCAGUUAACUGGUCGAGACUCCAUGGUUUCUGUUGGGCUCAGCUUGGUAUUAUUGAAAGCGACACCUCUUUAUGUUAAAAAGUAUUUGGUAAUACUAAUGACAAACUAUUUGGUCUAAACUAACUUGGUUUGAGUUAGGCAAGUCCAUUCCGAAAGUAAAUGUGUUGCGAUAUUACUUUUUACAUGUUUGUAACAAAACUAUUGGCCACUCAGGAUUAUUCUUUUAACUAUAUCGUUAUUUUCAUCAUAAAAAAAAACUAUAUCAUUACUUCAUACAUACAUGCACCGUUGUGGUAACUAUUGGAUAUUUUUGCGUGUACAUUAAGGUUGAUAAGAAGAAGAAAAUCAU